CACGUAGGGGGCAAGCGUUGUCCGGAUUCAUUGGGCGUAAAGAGCUCGUAGGCGGCUCAGUAAGUCGGGUGUGAAACCCUCAGGCUCAACCUGGGGACGCCACUCGAUACUGCCGGGCUAGAGUCCGGAAGAGGCGAGUGGAAUUCCUGGUGUAGCGGUGGAAUGCGCAGAUAUCAGGAGGAACACCAACGGCGAAGGCAGCUCGCUGGGACGGUACUGACACUGAGGCGCGAAAGCGUGGGGAGCGAACAGG
This 253-nucleotide ribosomal RNA is filed under the name uncultured bacterium. Its description in RNAcentral is "partial 16S ribosomal RNA". It matches the Rfam family "Bacterial small subunit ribosomal RNA", at positions 524 to 776 of the family's 1533-position model. The record is from RNAcentral.